UAAGGAUUAUUUUAAGUUGAAGAAUGUUUGAUUGUUGAUCAAAAGGUUGUUUUCUUAG
Molecule: transfer RNA, 58 nt
Filed under: Gnathostoma nipponicum
Lineage: Eukaryota; Metazoa; Nematoda; Chromadorea; Rhabditida; Gnathostomatidae
Description: tRNA-Asn
Source: RNAcentral